CCCAGACUCCUACGGGAGGCAGCAGUGGGGAAUAUUGCACAAUGGGGGAAACCCUGAUGCAGCGACGCCGCGUGAGUGAAGAAGUAUUUCGGUAUGUAAAGCUCUAUCAGCAGGAACGAGACAAGACGGUACCUGACUAAGAAGCCCCGGCUAACUACGUGCCAGCAGCCGCGGUAAUACGUAGGGGGCAAGCGUUAUCCGGAAUCACUGGGUGUAAAGGGAGCGUAGACGGCUGUGCAAGCCUGAAGUGAAAUGCCGGGGCUUAACCCCGGAACUGCUUUGGAAACUGUGCGGCUGGAGUGCAGGAGGGGUAAGCGGAAUUCCUAGUGUAGCGGUGAAAUGCGUAGAUAUUAGGAGGAACACCAGUGGCGAAGGCGGCUUACUGGACUGUAACUGACGUUGAGGCUCGAAAGCGUGGGGAGCAAACAGGAUUAGAUACCCCUGUACG
This 448-nucleotide ribosomal RNA is filed under the name uncultured bacterium. Its description in RNAcentral is "bacterial SSU rRNA". It matches the Rfam family "Bacterial small subunit ribosomal RNA", at positions 330 to 793 of the family's 1533-position model. The record is from RNAcentral.